UCCGAUGUAGUCUAGCUGGUUAGGAUAUCUGGCUUUCACCCAGACGACCCGGGUUCGAGUCCCGGCAUCGGAA
This 73-nucleotide transfer RNA is filed under the name Perkinsus olseni. It matches the Rfam family "tRNA". From Rfam's summary of the family: Transfer RNA (tRNA) molecules are approximately 80 nucleotides in length. Their secondary structure includes four short double-helical elements and three loops (D, anti-codon, and T loops). Lineage: Eukaryota; Perkinsozoa; Perkinsida; Perkinsidae. RNAcentral also lists the same sequence under 2 other names. The record is from Rfam by way of RNAcentral.